This 380-nucleotide transfer-messenger RNA is filed under the name human gut metagenome. It matches the Rfam family "transfer-messenger RNA". From Rfam's summary of the family: Bacterial tmRNA, also known as 10Sa RNA or SsrA, is named for its dual tRNA and mRNA-like properties. The record is from RNAcentral.
GGGGCUGUCUUUGGUUUCGACAGAAAUGUUCCGCUAUAAACGGCAAGUCGUAGACAUACGUUAAAUGCACAAAAAAAUAAAUGCAAAAAAUGUAAAAAAUGUAUUAGCUUCAGUAUUCAAGAGAAAUGCUGUAGCCUUUGCCUAAUUUAAUUUAGAGUGAUACAACUUUCUUUAUUACCUUUCCUGUGGGUAAUGUAGAAGGUUCGAUUUUAGCAGGAUAUAUUAUUACUGGUCUUCAAAGUAAUAAUGAAAUUUAGAAGAUUACUAAAAAAGAGUUGUUGACUACUAACUUUUUUAGGACAUUAAUUAGUCAGCUAAACUUGUAGAAAUUUAUAGUAGGGUGUUUUUGGACAGGAGUUCGAUCCUCCUCAGCUCCACCA